This 21-nucleotide non-coding RNA is filed under the name Caenorhabditis elegans. Lineage: Eukaryota; Metazoa; Nematoda; Chromadorea; Rhabditida; Rhabditidae. The record is from RNAcentral.
UUCGCUAUCGUAGUUACCGUA